RNAcentral lists this ribosomal RNA (395 nucleotides) under uncultured bacterium. RNAcentral describes it as "bacterial SSU rRNA". It matches the Rfam family "Bacterial small subunit ribosomal RNA", at positions 30 to 429 of the family's 1533-position model. The record is from RNAcentral.
AUUGAACGCUGGCGGAAUGCUUUACACAUGCAAGUCGAACGGUAGAGGGGGCAACCCCUUGAGAGUGGCGAACGGGUGAGUAAUAUAUCGGAACGUGCCCAGUCGUGGGGAUAACGUAGCGAAAGUUACGCUAAUACCGCAUACGAUCUAAGGAUGAAAGCGGGGGACUCGCAAGAGCCUCGCGCGAUUGGAGCGGCCGAUAUCAGAUUAGGUAGUUGGUGGGGUAAAGGCUCACCAAGCCAACGAUCUGUAGCUGGUCUGAGAGGACGACCAGCCACACUGGAACUGAGACACGGUCCAGACUCCUACGGGAGGCAGCAGUGGGGAAUUUUGGACAAUGGACGCAAGUCUGAUCCAGCCAUUCCGCGUGCAGGAUGAAGGCCUUCGGUUGUAAC